UACGAAGGGUGCAAGCGUUGUUCGGAUUUACUGGGCGUAAAGCGCGCGCAGGCGGAUUUGUAAGUCAGAUGUGAAAUCUCGGGGCUCAACCUCGAAACUGCGUCUGAAACUACUAAUCUAGAGUAAUGGAGGGGGAAGUGGAAUUUCGCAUGUAGGGGUAAAAUCCGUAGAGAUGCGAAGGAACACCAGUGCCGAAGGGGACUUCCUGGACAUUUACUGACGCUGAGGCGCGAAAGCGUGGGGAGCAAACAGG
Molecule: unclassified non-coding RNA, 253 nt
Filed under: uncultured Bacteriovoracaceae bacterium
Lineage: Bacteria; Pseudomonadati; Bdellovibrionota; Bacteriovoracia; Bacteriovoracales; Bacteriovoracaceae
Description: contains 16S-23S intergenic spacer region
Rfam family: Bacterial small subunit ribosomal RNA
Source: RNAcentral